RNAcentral lists this long non-coding RNA (780 nucleotides) under Brassica napus (rape). Its description in RNAcentral is "long non-coding RNA (BNAP_LNC021730)". The record is from RNAcentral. Lineage: Eukaryota; Viridiplantae; Streptophyta; Magnoliopsida; Brassicales; Brassicaceae.
GGGAGGAAAUGAGCAACAAGUUACUCAGUGAAGUGACUCUAGACCAGCCGGCCCGCAUGACUCUUUAUACUACUCUAUGCGGGAACUAGGGCUGACUAGCCACUACAAUCAAUAAAUGCAACCUAACAUUUCCUAACAUCAUCAUUACCAAUCAUUCACAGUUCUCUACAUUUCUAACAACCUAACGAUCACCCAAUACAAUGAUCUCACUCAUUGUCACACACAUCAAUCCAUAGACUCUGACCGACUCAACAUACACGACCGUCUUGAACCUAUGACAUCAAUACGCUUUUUAUAUCCCGCCUCUCGCGGUAGGCACGUUUUUAUAUCCCGCCUCUCGUGGCUGGCACAUCUCCUCGCUUCCCAUGGGUAGCUCUCGUUAAGCCACUACCCCACAGGUUCAUGUGGGUGCCUCGUUAGGCACUACCCCACAAGUUCCUAUAGGUGCCUAGCGUAAAGCUACUACCCCCAUGUUUUACAUAUCUUAGACUCUAGACGCCCACCCGUUCUUGGUGGUCCAAACAGGACAUCAAGCAGGUUUAUUGACACAUUCACUUUCUUAUUCUCAAUCUCAUUCUCCAUCAUGUUCACUUUCUCAUCCACGUUAUUCACUUCUCAUUUCUUAUUCAGUCUCACAUUCUCAUACAUUUAGACUCUUACUCAUACACAUUCACUAGACGCCACCCGUUAUCAGUGUCUCACACAAUACACAUCACAUUCUCAAACACAACAGCUGAUGCCAAAGGACAUCCUAUUCACAUACAUCAAGUACUUACACUA